GCAAACUUGGUCAUUUAGAGGAAGUAAAAGUCGUAACAAGGUCUCCGUUGGUGAACCAGCGGAGGGAUCAUUACAGAGUUGCAAAACUCCCACAACCAUCGCGAACGUUACCUAUACUGUUGCUUCGGCGGCUAUCCUCGCCUCGACGAGGGUCCAUAGACCAGCCGACAGCCAAAUAACUCUUUAUUAUUGCUGGUCUCUCUGAGUAAUAAUAUACAAUAAGUUAAAACUUUCAACAACGGAUCUCUUGGUUCUGGCAUCGAUGAAGAACGCAGC
This 276-nucleotide unclassified non-coding RNA is filed under the name uncultured fungus. Its description in RNAcentral is "partial contains small subunit ribosomal RNA, internal transcribed spacer 1, and 5.8S ribosomal RNA". The stretch from base 1 to 73 matches the Rfam family "Eukaryotic small subunit ribosomal RNA", at positions 1759 to 1831 of the family's 1831-position model. The record is from RNAcentral. Lineage: Eukaryota; Fungi.